This 1214-nucleotide long non-coding RNA is filed under the name Oncorhynchus kisutch (coho salmon). Its description in RNAcentral is "lncRNA (ENSOKIG00005002034.1)". Lineage: Eukaryota; Metazoa; Chordata; Actinopteri; Salmoniformes; Salmonidae. The record is from RNAcentral.
AAAAUUAGCCAUGGAUUCGAUGACUAAAAUCUAUUGCAAAUGUGGGGUGGAAGCGUCAUGAGUGUAUCUUUUCCCAUUUACAGUGUAAAUGGAAUGGACAGAGCUUUCCCUGAAAUGACUCAGGAUAGAAGAGAAGGAAUCGCAAGAGUCCUGCUGAAAUACCUGAGGAAAUCUGUGCACCUCAUCAAUGGACCAGCUUGCAGGCAGGACAUCCACGAUGACAAUGACUGGCUUGCAAUCAACCUGGGUUCAUACUCCGAGUACACAACCUAUUCGGAUCUCAAAGACUUCAACAUCUCAGGGGUAAAACAAUUGUUUGCCAGUGUUCUUUGCAUGACCAGAAUUGACUAGUUUGACACUGCUCAUGUGUGGAAUUAUGGCUAUUUAGAGGGCUAAUGCAUUGUAUUCUGUUGUCUUCUUCUCCCCAGGUGGCAGUUCUAGACUCCCUCUCACCAAACCAGAAAGCUGAAUUGAUACUGGACCCAAGCACUGGCGCUCUGGAGAAUGAGACUCUUGUGAAGAACGUUUUCAUCAGCUUGCUGGAAUCUCCAAGGGAAGAGCAGCUCAAUGAGUUCUUUGUGACUUUUGUUGAAGUCACCAAGCAGGUCAGUACAUCACUCUCUGGCUGGAAUGGACCUUGUACAGUGAGACCUGGCUCUCGACAAAGUCAUCUGACAAAACAAUCAGGAUGAAUUGAUGUCCUCCUAAACCAUUAACCAUUUAUUUUACAGGAAAACAUCACUAUCAUCACAAACACAGCCGUAAGAGACACAAUGCUAGACCUGACCUUGAUGGCUCUUGCUCCCAAAUUCGACGUUUUUGAGCCAAAAGACUUCCAGCUGUGGUUCCAAGUCAAUCUGGUUGUUCUGCUGGCCAGCUUCCAUCCUGGCAGAUUGGUUGAUAUCCCCCUAAACAUCACCUGUGAAUCCUACAAUGCCAUGUAAGAGACUACUUUACCCCAAACAAACGUACAAGGGACUGCCUCGUAAAGUACAGAUUGACAAAAGACUGCGCUAAUGUCUCUUUCCUUUUUCUCUCAGAUUUACGGGUCUCGACCAAAGUUUGGAAUCUCUUCCGCCUCACCUCUCACAGGGUGUAAAGUCAAGCUUGGAUGCACUGAUGAAGACAUUCCAACGUAUGUGAUAAACUGCUAUUUUUCAACAACAUACACUGUAUCAUCUGAGCCCAGCAUUUAUAGAACAUUUAAAAAAUCU